RNAcentral lists this ribosomal RNA (506 nucleotides) under uncultured bacterium. RNAcentral describes it as "partial 16S ribosomal RNA". It matches the Rfam family "Bacterial small subunit ribosomal RNA", at positions 30 to 523 of the family's 1533-position model. The record is from RNAcentral.
AUUGAACGCUGGCGGCAGGCCUAACACAUGCAAGUCGGGCGGUAGCACAAAGGAGCUUGCUCCUUGGGUGACGAGCGGCGGACGGGUGAGUAAUGUCUGGGAAACUGCCUGAUGGAGGGGGAUAACUACUGGAAACGGUAGCUAAUACCGCAUAACGUCGCAAGACCAAAGAGGGGGACCUUCGGGCCUCUUGCCAUCGGAUGUGCCCAGAUGGGAUUAGCUAGUAGGUGGGGUAAAGGCUCACCUAGGCGACGAUCCCUAGCUGGUCUGAGAGGAUGACCAGCCACACUGGAACUGAGACACGGUCCAGACUCCUACGGGAGGCAGCAGUGGGGAAUAUUGCACAAUGGGCGCAAGCCUGAUGCAGCCAUGCCGCGUGUGUGAAGAAGGCCUUCGGGUUGUAAAGCACUUUCAGCGGGGAGGAAGGGAGCAGGCUUAAUACGUCUGUUCAUUGACGUUACCCGCAGAAGAAGCACCGGCUAACUCCGUGCCAGCCGCCGCCGUAA